This 903-nucleotide ribosomal RNA is filed under the name Ramularia glennii. Its description in RNAcentral is "eukaryotic LSU rRNA". It matches the Rfam family "Eukaryotic large subunit ribosomal RNA", at positions 27 to 961 of the family's 3401-position model. Lineage: Eukaryota; Fungi; Ascomycota; Dothideomycetes; Mycosphaerellales; Mycosphaerellaceae. The record is from RNAcentral.
GCUGAACUUAAGCAUAUCAAUAAGCGGAGGAAAAGAAACCAACAGGGAUUGCCCUAGUAACGGCGAGUGAAGCGGCAACAGCUCAAAUUUGAAAUCUGGCGCAAGCCCGAGUUGUAAUUUGUAGAGGAUGCUUCUAGGUAGCGACCGGUCUAAGUUCCUUGGAACAGGACGUCAUAGAGGGUGAGAAUCCCGUAUGUGACUGGCCCGCACCUUCUACGUAGCUCCUUCGACGAGUCGAGUUGUUUGGGAAUGCAGCUCUAAAUGGGAGGUAAAUUUCUUCUAAAGCUAAAUACCGGCCAGAGACCGAUAGCGCACAAGUAGAGUGAUCGAAAGAUGAAAAGCACUUUGGAAAGAGAGUUAAAAAGCACGUGAAAUUGUUGAAAGGGAAGCGCUCACAACCAGACUUCUGGGCGGUGUUCCGCCGGUCUUCUGACCGGUCUACUCACCGUCCCGAGGCCAACAUCAUCUGGGACCGCCGGAUAAGACCUCAGGAAUGUAGCUCCCCUCGGGGAGUGUUAUAGCCUGUGGUGAUGCGGCGCGUCUCGGGUGAGGUCCGCGCUUCGGCAAGGAUGUUGGCGUAAUGGUUGUCAGCGGCCCGUCUUGAAACACGGACCAAGGAGUCUAACAUCUAUGCGAGUGUUCGGGUGUCAAACCCCUACGCGUAAUGAAAGUGAACGGAGGUGGGAAGGGUAACCUGCACCAUCGACCGAUCCUGAUGUCCUCGGAUGGAUUUGAGUAAGAGCAUAGCUGUUGGGACCCGAAAGAUGGUGAACUAUGCCUGAAUAGGGUGAAGCCAGAGGAAACUCUGGUGGAGGCUCGCAGCGGUUCUGACGUGCAAAUCGAUCGUCAAAUUUGGGUAUAGGGGCGAAAGACUAAUCGAACCAUCUAGUAGCUGGUUCCUGC